RNAcentral lists this unclassified non-coding RNA (220 nucleotides) under uncultured Actinomycetes bacterium. RNAcentral describes it as "uncultured actinobacterium contains 16S-23S intergenic spacer region". The record is from RNAcentral. Lineage: Bacteria; Bacillati; Actinomycetota; Actinomycetes.
UCCGAGUUGACCCCGGCAGUCUCCUGCGAGUCCCCGCCAUUACGCGCUGGCAACACAGGACAAGGGUUGCGCUCGUUGCGGGACUUAACCCAACAUCUCACGACACGAGCUGACGACAGCCAUGCACCACCUGUACACCGACAAAAAGGGGCCACAUCUCUGCAGCUUUCCGGUGUAUGUCAAACCCAGGUAAGGUGGGGAUGACGUAUGCGUAACAGAA